AGAAUAUAUUACAGGAACAAAAAGAGAAUACUGAAGUCUCAAAACAAUAGCUCAGUUGACCCUUGUAUGAGAAACUUGGAUGAGUGUGAGGUGUGCCGGGACGGAGGGGAGCUGUUCUGUUGCGACACUUGUUCAAGAGUCUUCCAUGAGGACUGCCACAUCCCACCUGUGGAAAGUGAGAAGACCCCGUGGAAUUGCAUCUUCUGCAGGAUGAAGGAGUCUCCGGGAAGCCAACAGUGUUGUCAGGAAUCUGAGGUCCUGGAGAGGCAGAUGUGUCCUGAGGAACAGUUGAAAUGUGAGUUCCUCCUCUUGAAAGUCUAUUGCUGUUCUGAGAGCUCCUUUUUUGCCAAGAUUCCAUACUAUUAUUAUGUAAGUAACAACAGCAACCCAUGAUUACAGGCUGCCAUGACAUUACCUGACCCUGAAAUGGGCCCUCGUGAGAUUUGUGAUCUUAAUCCCACGGGGCAAGAGCACACGCUGUCAUUAGUUGCCUUCACCUUGUUGUAUUUCUGCUGGAUUUUAUGGGAAUCCACAGAAGGUAGACACUGAACUAUGCUGGUAGCUUUUCCAUUGGUAUAUUUGUCACCAGAUUAGAGAGGCGUGUCAAGGCCUGAAGGAGCCCAUGUGGUUGGAUAAAAUCAAGAAAAGGCUGAAUGAGCACGGUUACCCCCAAGUGGAGGGGUUUGUACAAGACAUGCGCCUCAUCUUCCAGAACCACAGGGCCUCUUACAAGUAUAAGGAUUUUGGCCAAAUGGGACUUAGACUGGAGGCUGAAUUUGAGAAGGAUUUCAAGGAAGUGUUUGCUAUUCAGGAAACAAAUGGGAACAGUUGACUGGUUUAGUGGAUGCUGAAGGCCUUCAGGAAAUAUGCUACUGGUUGCCACUGACUUCAAACUGAGAGCACUUGGGAAAUAGCACAUGCAGGGAGAGGCUUUUCUCUGAGCCUCCCUCAUCUGCCCAAAAACAAAUCCUCAAAAGAAAUUUGAUCAUCAUGAAUCCCAUCCCCAAGAAUCUCAUCAACCAGGGAAGAGGAACUGAGAUCACAGGGAAGGAGAUUGGAGGUGAUACCAGCACAGACAGACUCUCACCUCUUCUCCUGAGGUCUGCUCCAGACAACAUUUAUUACUCACAAGACCUUUUUCCUCCGUUUUUUUUUUGAGAUGGAGUCUCACACAGUCACCCGGGAUUGGAAUGCAAUGGCGCGAUCUCAGCUCACUGCAACCUCUGCCUCCCGGAUUCAAGUGAUUCUCCUGUCUCAGCCUCCCAAGUAGCUGGGAUUACAGUGCCUGCCACCAUGCCCAGCUAAUUUUUUGCAUUUUUAGUAGAGACGGGGUUUCACUAUGUUGGCCAGGCUGGUCUCGAACUCCUGACCUCAUGAGCCGCCCGCCUUGGCCUCCCAAAGUGCUGGGACGUGACAGGAGUGAGCCACCACACCUGGCCACUCGCAAGACCUUUUAUCUGAAAACCAGCCAAG
Molecule: long non-coding RNA, 1473 nt
Filed under: Homo sapiens (human)
Lineage: Eukaryota; Metazoa; Chordata; Mammalia; Primates; Hominidae
Description: long non-coding RNA NONHSAT183718.1
Source: RNAcentral